GUAACCUGUACCAAAUAAAUGAAUGACAUGUGUUUAACAUCUGCUGAUCCGCACAGCAAGCCCCUAACCAAGCUGUGCUUUAUAACAAUUCAAAUUCUCUCCAGGAACAUUGAUUCUAUCAGUCAGAAAUAAACCCUUGUAAAUGUGUAUUUGAAGGCUGCUUCUGAUGCAGUCAGUAGAACAGUAUGUGGGAUCCUUGUGCCUGCCUCCCUCUCAUGAUUUCUACUUGUUCUUUUGCAGUGAGAGUCAUGGCAACAGCCUCUUUUACACACUCCACUCGUUUCUGGGUCUUGGGAUGUCUAAUAGUAUCCUAAGAAUCCUAUUUGCAUUUUACCAUUUACCUACCCAUCAGAGGCCAUGAAUAAGACUGGAGAGGUAAUGUUACCUCCUCAACACAAUCAGUUGACACUUCCAAGCAAAAAGGAGAGACCAAAGCCACCAAAAUCUUUGGAAGGAUAUUCAGGACAGUUAAGGGAUUCUGCAUUCUAGAAAACUUAAUCUAAGUUUGUUAGCAAUGAAAAGCAAUGCACAUAUCGGGGCUUAAAAAAGAAAUAUAAUUCUCUGAGAAGCUAGACCCCCCAGACUGGCCAAAUGAUCUCUAAGCAGGCUUGAUUGAGGAGAAACCAGCCUUAAAUGCUCUUUUGGCAAUAAUAGAUAAGGAGUGAAACUAGAAAUGACAGAAAGAGGGAGGGAAUAAGAGGUCCCAGCCACGCAGAAAUGGUGUCAAAAGAAAGAACAGGAAAAGAAUAGAGUUCCUGAGAGGUGAAUUUCACUCUGGGCCUUUACUAGUUAUCCUACGAUCAGUGAACCAGCAACAUCUGCAUCCCAAAAAAAACCUGUUAGAAAUCCAAAUUCUCCAUCCCUACCCCAGAACUACUAAAUCUACUUUUGGACAAUAUCUGCAGGUGACUUAAAAGGACAUGGUUUACAAGUUUGAGAAGCACUAUCAUAAACUAAUGGCAAGUAGAGGCUUAAUGAACUAGAAGAAAUUGCUUAGAAUUUAGGGAAUUCUUUGACUUAAAGGAAAUCCCGCUGUGGACUUAGUCCAACCUCCAUCAUAUUGAAGAGUAGUGAAAAUAAGUAGGAAAAUAAGACUCACCCCACUUUUGCUACUGGUUGUCUCAUCUCUCCAAGGAGGGUGUCAACUCAUUGGGGCCAAAAAUGUUCAUUUACCUUCUUCCUGUUCCUCACAGGGUACAAUCUUGGGACCUGUAAUUGGAUUUCUGCUAACCAGUGACCAGCCAAAUGAAGAUCAUUCUGGAAAGCUGACUGAGAUCAGCUUCUACCAUUUCCUCUUACGCAUUCCUUGCUUUUAACUUUAGCCAGUGCUCCCAGGAUGAUAUGUGAAGAUCACAAGUAUUAAGAAAAGGGUUCAGGAAUCCAUUUCUAAUGUUCAUAAAUAUAAUGUGCCAUUGCUCCAAGGUGGUAUUUCCAGAGCUGGAAGUGUAGCUGACUAUAUUGUUCUAAUCUGCACUAAAUGCCCCAGAGGGAAGGUUACAUAAAAGUGCAAGAACUCAUGAAACCAAUUUGGGUAGAAGUCAAAAACCAAAGCAAAACAUUGGUUCUCUGGCUCAUUGAUUUCCAUCUUCUCCCUAGGGUACAAAGAAUUCUCAACUGUAUCAUAAAGAUACUGCUUCUCUUUUGGUGGAUGAACACCAAUAAUAAUUCUUAUUUUAGGAGCAAUAUGUCAGGUAUUGCAAACAUGACCUCUCAGUUAGCCUCUAUUGCAAGGAUCUUUGUGAUAUCACACUGCCCUGAGCAAAUGCCGGUUUGAGUUCUUUUUUCAGAAAACUGCUGAACAAAGAGAUAUAUGCGUCUGUAUCCAUAGAUAUAUGUGUAUAUCAUCUUUACAGCAAAUAGAAUAGAAGAAGCCUUGGACAGCAAGAAUAGAAAAUGAGUUUAAAAUAUAUAAUUAUAUGCCCAUUUUCUUGGGGAAAAAAUUGAAUCUACACCAGCCUGAUUUCUAGUGUUUGUUCUUUAAGAAAAAUAUCCCCCUAAACACACCAUUCUAUUUUUCCUAAGAAAUGAACUGUUUAGAAAGAGCACUAUAAUGAUCUAAAAAUUCUUCUGGGCCCCAUUGGCGUAGGUGGAAAGCUCCCAGGAGUCUGGACUGCAGCUCAACCAGGGAAGAGAGUUGACCUCUAACCACCAGGCCAUGGUCACCCUGUAGCCUCUACAGCUAUUUCCACACCUUUAAAAUGAUAAAAAGGUAUUAUAAAGAUUCACCACUCAUCUAGCAGAGGAACUACAGCUUUCAAUUGCUUCUGUCCCUCUAGAAUUGCACGAAUGACCCAUAUUACAUAACUUGUGAAGAAAACAGGAAUUUCAAAUCAGCCAAUCUCUAAGUCACAUGGUAAUGAAGGGGGCCAUAAGUUCUCAAGGUAUAUUCCUACCUCUCCAGUUCUCAAGAUAUAUUCCCACCUCUCCAGUCACUGCCAGACCCUUGAAUAAUCCAGAGGGAAACUAUGUAUGAAUUAGCAAAAAAAAAAAAAAAGUCAUCCUUCCUGGGGUGGGGUUUCAAAUACUAUAUUAGUCUGGGUUCUCCUGAACAAAGGCAGUAAGACAGAUGGACAGAUAGAUGGAUGCAUGAACAAAUGCGCACACACACACACAUAUAUUUGUUAGAAGGAGUUGACUCAUGCAGUCACAGAAGCUAAGACCCAAGAACUGUAGCUGGUAAGCUGGAGACCCAGGAGAGCGAAUGGUACAGCUCUAGUCAGAAUAUGAAGGCCUAAUAACCAAGAGAGUCAAAGGUGACAGUUGCAGUCCAAGUCCAAGUAUGAAAGCAGAGGACCAAUGUCCUAGUCAGAAGACACUGAAUUCUCCCUCAGUCCACCUUGGUGUUUUUGUCAGGCCCUCAAUGGAUUGGAUGAAACCCACUCACUAUAGGGAGAACAAUCUGCUCUACUUAGUCAAUCAUUCAAAUGCCAAUCUCAUCCAGAACACUCUCACAGAAAUACCCUGGAUAAUGUUUGGACGUGCGAUGGCCCAUGCAAAUUAACACACAAAAUUAAUCAUCACACAUGUGUGUAUGGUGAAACCACAAGCUGCACUCCAGCCCCUGUCUGUCCCAAAGCGAGGCACCCUGGUGGAGACUUCAAUCUACACAAUCAUACAGAGAUCCUGCCUGCUACUUACAUUUGAUCUUCUCUAAGAAAUGGCCCCUAUUCUUUAGAAUGGGCACCCUUAGAGUUCUGCCUUUGUGGCCCACUCCACCCAUUAUACUCUCCCUGAAUCCUAUCAAAGCUUCUGGACUGAUAAUGUCUUUGGCUCCAUAUAAUGCCUCAACACAGUGUAUUGCACUUCACAAGUUGAUAGAAUGCAGCUACCUGUAAAUUUACAAGCUGAUAGAAUGCAGUUACCUUUAAAUAUUAUACCUGAAGAUUCCCCAGAAAAGCAUCUGAGUUAAGUGACAUACGUAGGUAUGGAACCCUUCCUUUUAGUGGAAAAAGCACAGAUCUCCUUGGACUGCUAGGCCUGUGCAAAACAGUCAAUGCACACUGAGUAUUAAAAAAGAGGACAGAGAAAAGGAAAAAAAUAAAAACAACAGGAAGAACACAAGAAAAAGGAAAAGAAGAAGAAGGAGUAGUCAUCAUCCACAAGACAAGAAAUGAUGUAAACAUUAGGGAAAAUAAACAGAAAUAACAAAUGACUAAGCAUUCAAUGAGUACUGAGUCCCAGAAAUGACACUUGUGCAGAACUGUAACAUAAGGAAUGAAUCACUGUUUACCACCCAUGGACAGGGUGCUGUCAAGUUCAACAUGUGUGCAGCAAUUAGGAGCGGAACAUGCAGAGCCUGCAGAACAGUGAUGUAGAGCUGGCAUCUGAAAACAAACAAACCUUAUUCUUAUCAUUUCUCCAAAAAGGGAGGGGGUACCCCCAAUUCCAAUUUACAACAUACAAAUGUUUCACAAAGAAAAGGUUUGAAGUAAAUGGAAGUUCCAAGUGGUAAGAAAAAAAUGGUUCAGAUAUUGUGGGCUAAGAAAUGUAAACAAUGCAACUAGGGAAAGCUAGAGAACAGAGUUCUAACUAUGGUAACAGGUUUAGAAACCAAACAUGACUCUAUAGGAGAAGUGGAAAUUUUUAUACUUAAAGAGUAAGCAUGAAUAUGGGGGGCGUGUGAUCAAAGUAUGUUAUAUGCAUGUAUGAAUAUGACACAAUAAAACCCUUUGUUCUGCAUAUUAA
This is a long non-coding RNA of Ictidomys tridecemlineatus (thirteen-lined ground squirrel), 4185 nucleotides long. RefSeq lists it as uncharacterized. Lineage: Eukaryota; Metazoa; Chordata; Mammalia; Rodentia; Sciuridae. The record is from RefSeq and is a predicted model, not a curated record.